Molecule: ribosomal RNA, 460 nt
Filed under: uncultured bacterium
Lineage: Bacteria
Description: partial 16S ribosomal RNA
Rfam family: Bacterial small subunit ribosomal RNA
Source: RNAcentral
CCUACGGGUGGCAGCAGUGAGGAAUAUUGGUCAAUGGACGAGAGUCUGAACCAGCCAAGUAGCGUGAAGGAUGACUGCCCUAUGGGUUGUAAACUUCUUUUAUAUGGGAAUAAAAUGUUCCACGUGUGGGAUUUUGUAUGUACCAUAUGAAUAAGGCUCGGCUAACUCCGUGCCAGCAGCCGCGGUAAUACGGAGGAUCCGAGCGUUAUCCGGAUUUAUUGGGUUUAAAGGGAGCGUAGGUGGAUUCUUAAGUCAGUUGUGAAAGUUUGCGGCUCAACCGUAAAAUUGCAGUUGAAACUGGCAGUCUUGAGUACAGUAGAGGUGGGCGGAAUUCGUGGUGUAGCGGUGAAAUGCUUAGAUAUCACGAAGAACUCCGAUUGCGAAGGCAGUUCACUGGACUGCAACUGACACUGAGGCUCGAAAGUGUGGGUAUCAAACAGGAUUAGAUACCCCUGUAGUC